RNAcentral lists this ribosomal RNA (324 nucleotides) under uncultured eukaryote. Its description in RNAcentral is "partial 18S ribosomal RNA". It matches the Rfam family "Eukaryotic small subunit ribosomal RNA", at positions 1470 to 1796 of the family's 1831-position model. The record is from RNAcentral.
CCCGUAGAUGUCCUGGGCUGCACGCGCGCUACACUGAUGUGUCCAGUAAGCACCUAACCUCUUCCGAAAGGAACGGGUAACCUUUGCAAAGCACAUCGUGAUGGGGAUAGAUUAUUGCAAUUAUUAGUCUUGAACGAGGAAUUCCUAGUAAGCACAAGUCAUCAGCUUGUGUUGAUUACGUCCCUGCCCUUUGUACACACCGCCCGUCGCUCCUACCGAUUGAAUGUUCCGGUGAGCUCUUCGGACUGCGCGGUCUGCAGUUUCUGCGUUCCGUGCGGAAAGUUGCGCAAACCUUAACAUUUAGAGGAAGGAGAAGUCGUAACA